AGUGAACGCUGGCGGUAGGCCUAACACAUGUAAGUCGAACGGCAGCACAGGAGAGCUUGCUCUCUGGGUGGCGAGUGGCGGACGGGUGAGGAAUACAUCGGAAUCUACUCUGUCGUGGGGGAUAACGUAGGGAAACUUACGCUAAUACCGCAUACGACCUACGGGUGAAAGCAGGGGACCUUCGGGCCUUGCGGCAUUGAAUGAGCCGAUGUCGGAUGAGCUAGUCGGCGGGGUAAAGGCCCACCAAGGCGACGAUCCGUAGCUGGUCUGAGAGGAUGAUCAGCCACACUGGAACUGAGACACGGUCCAGACUCCUACGGGAGGCAGCAGUGGGGAAUAUUGGACAAUGGGCGCAAGCCUGAUCCAGCCAUACCGCGUGGGUGAAGAAGGCCUUCGGGUUGUAAAGCCCUUUUGUUGGGAAAGAAAUCCAGCUGGCUAAUACCCGGUUGGGAUGACGGUACCCAAAGAAUAAGCACCGGCUAACUUCGUGCCAGCAGCCGCCGUAA
RNAcentral lists this ribosomal RNA (506 nucleotides) under uncultured bacterium. RNAcentral's name for it is "partial 16S ribosomal RNA". It matches the Rfam family "Bacterial small subunit ribosomal RNA", at positions 29 to 523 of the family's 1533-position model. The record is from RNAcentral.